UACGAAGGGGGCUAGCGUUGCUCGGAAUCACUGGGCGUAAAGCGCACGUAGGCGGAUCUUUAAGUCAGGGGUGAAAUCCCAAGGCUCAACCUUGGAACUGCCUUUGAUACUGGGGAUCUCGAGUCCGGAAGAGGUGAGUGGAACUGCGAGUGUAGAGGUGAAAUUCGUAGAUAUUCGCAAGAACACCAGUGGCGAAGGCGGCUCACUGGUCCGGUACUGACGCUGAGGUGCGAAAGCGUGGGGAUCAAACAGG
This 253-nucleotide ribosomal RNA is filed under the name uncultured bacterium. RNAcentral's name for it is "partial 16S ribosomal RNA". It matches the Rfam family "Bacterial small subunit ribosomal RNA", at positions 524 to 776 of the family's 1533-position model. The record is from RNAcentral.